Molecule: long non-coding RNA, 464 nt
Filed under: Marmota monax (woodchuck)
Lineage: Eukaryota; Metazoa; Chordata; Mammalia; Rodentia; Sciuridae
Source: RNAcentral
GUCUAAACCUAAGCUGUUCCAUGAGAACAAACACAAAUUGAACAGAUUGUGUCAUGGAGAGCUUUGCCAAUUUUAAAGCUCUACUCAAAUGCUAGUUAAUACUCUGCCUUUCAUUGGUGCCCUGCUCUCUGUCCAAACUCUUUGUUAUUGAUCCCUUGCCACCCGCCUCACUGUCCUGUCCUGUUUCCUGAUGACCUCCUAAGUCCCCCACCCUUAACUCCUGGACCUCAUCACACAUCACUCUUUUUUCCUCCUCCUCCUCCUCCUCCAUCUCCUCCUCUUCCUCCUCCUUCUUUUUCUUUCUAUCUCUCUAUCUCUAUCUCUAUCUCUAUCGCUUUCUCUCUUUGUGGAGCUGGGAAUUGAACCCAGGGGUGCUCUGUCACUGAACUACAAUCCCAGCCCUUUUUUAUUUUAAUUAGGGUCUCACUAAAUUGCCAAGAAUUUGGAAUCUUCCUGCUUCAGCC